UACGGGAGGCAGCAGUGGGGAAUAUUGCACAAUGGGCGCAAGCCUGAUGCAGCCAUGCCGCGUGUAUGAAGAAGGCCUUCGGGUUGUAAAGUACUUUCAGUCGUGAGGAAGGUGUUAAGGUUAAUAACCUUAGCAAUUGACGUUAGCGACAGAAGAAGCACCGGCUAACUCCGUGCCAGCAGCCGCGGUAAUACGGAGGGUGCGAGCGUUAAUCGGAAUUACUGGGCGUAAAGGGCACGCAGGCGGUUAAUUAAGUUGGAUGUGAAAUCCCCGGGCUUAACCUGGGAAUGGCAUUCAAGACUGGUUAGCUAGAGUCUUGUAGAGGGGGUAGAAUUCCAUGUGUAGCGGUGAAAUGCGUAGAGAUGUGGAGGAAUACCGGUGGCGAAGGCGGCCCCUGGACAAAGACUGACGCUCAUGUGCGAAAGCGUGGGGAGCAAAAC
Molecule: ribosomal RNA, 440 nt
Filed under: uncultured bacterium
Lineage: Bacteria
Description: bacterial SSU rRNA
Rfam family: Bacterial small subunit ribosomal RNA
Source: RNAcentral